Molecule: ribosomal RNA, 481 nt
Filed under: uncultured bacterium
Lineage: Bacteria
Description: partial 16S ribosomal RNA
Rfam family: Bacterial small subunit ribosomal RNA
Source: RNAcentral
GAUGAACGCUGGCGGCGUGCUUAACACAUGCAAGUCGAACGAAGCACUUUAUUUGAUUUCCUUCGGGACUGAUUAUUUUGUGACUGAGUGGCGGACGGGUGAGUAACGCGUGGGUAACCUGCCUUGUACAGGGGGAUAACAGUUGGAAACGGCUGCUAAUACCGCAUAAGCGCACAGCAUCGCAUGAUGCAGUGUGAAAAACUCCGGUGGUAUAAGAUGGACCCGCGUUGGAUUAGCUAGUUGGUGAGGUAACGGCCCACCAAGGCGACGAUCCAUAGCCGACCUGAGAGGGUGACCGGCCACUUUGGGACUGAGACACGGCCCAAACUCCUACGGGAGGCAGCAGUGGGGAAUAUUGCACAAUGGGCGAAAGCCUGAUGCAGCGACGCCGCGUGAGCGAAGAAGUAUUUCGGUAUGUAAAGCUCUAUCAGCAGGGAAGAUAAUGACGGUACCUGACUAAGAAGCACCGGCUAAAUACGUG